RNAcentral lists this ribosomal RNA (253 nucleotides) under uncultured bacterium. RNAcentral describes it as "partial 16S ribosomal RNA". It matches the Rfam family "Bacterial small subunit ribosomal RNA", at positions 524 to 776 of the family's 1533-position model. The record is from RNAcentral.
UACGGGGAGUCCAAGCGUUAUCCGGAAUCAUUGGGUUUAAAGGGUCCGUAGGCGGUUUAAUAAGUCAGUGGUGAAAGCCCAUCGCUCAACGGUGGAACGGCCAUUGAUACUGUUAAACUUGAAUUAUUAGGAAGUAACUAGAAUAUGUAGUGUAGCGGUGAAAUGCUUAGAGAUUACAUGGAAUACCAAUUGCGAAGGCAGGUUACUACUAAUGGAUUGACGCUGAUGGACGAAAGCGUGGGUAGCGAACAGG